RNAcentral lists this transfer RNA (90 nucleotides) under Candidatus Uhrbacteria bacterium. Its description in RNAcentral is "tRNA-Leu". It matches the Rfam family "tRNA". From Rfam's summary of the family: Transfer RNA (tRNA) molecules are approximately 80 nucleotides in length. Their secondary structure includes four short double-helical elements and three loops (D, anti-codon, and T loops). Lineage: Bacteria; Candidatus Uhriibacteriota. The record is from RNAcentral.
GCGAGUGGUGAAAUUGGUAUACACGNNACACGCCAGCCUUAGGAGCUGGUGGGCUUGCCCAUGGAGGUUCGAGUCCUCUCUCCGGCACCA